CCUACGGGAGGCAGCAGUUAGGAAUAUUGGACAAUGGGCGCAAGCCUGAUCCAGCCAUGCCGCGUGUGUGAUGAAGGCCCUAGGGUUGUAAAGCACUUUCGUUGGGGAUGAUAAUGACCGUACCCAAAGAAGAAGCCACGGCUAAAUUCGUGCCAGCAGCCGCGGUAAU
This 169-nucleotide ribosomal RNA is filed under the name uncultured bacterium. RNAcentral describes it as "partial 16S ribosomal RNA". It matches the Rfam family "Bacterial small subunit ribosomal RNA", at positions 338 to 524 of the family's 1533-position model. The record is from RNAcentral.